GGGGCUUCACUUUUAGUUACUGAUUUCUCACCUCUUAGAGAAGUUCGUAAAUGUAAAGAUGAAAUUUGCUUGAGGGUUGGUGAUUCGGUGGCUAUACAUGAAGUUGAUGCUCACAAUGUAGUACCUAUUUGGGUAGCAUCAGAAAAGUUGGAGUAUAGUGCUAGGACUUUAAGGGGUAAGAUAAAUAAAAGGCUGCCUGAUUACCUCAUUGAUUUUCCCGUAUUACAACCACCAUGUAGAAAGUGGGUUGCUACUGCAAAUCAGUUGACUGAUUGGGAAAGUCUCUUUGAUGAAGUGGCAAGGAAAGGGGCAGAAGUUCCUGAAAUUGAAUGGUGCAUGCCAGGAGAAGAAGCAGCAAUGGAAGUAUUAAUGGGAAGUAAAAAUGGAUUCUUAACCAGAAGGUUGAAGAAUUAUUCUACAGAUAGGAAUGACCCAUUAAAACCUAAUGGACUCUCUGGUCUUUCUCCAUAUCUUCAUUUUGGGCAAAUAUCUGCACAGAGGUGUGCACUGGAGGCACAGAAAGUAAGGAAGCUUUGUCCUCAGUCGGUUGACGCAUUUUUGGAGGAGUUAAUUGUUCGUAGGGAACUUGCAGAUAACUUUUGCUUCUACCAGCCUCAUUAUGAUUCGUUACAAGGGGCAUGGGAGUGGGCACGAAAUACCUUGCUGGACCAUGCUUCUGACAAGCGAGAACAUGUUUACUCGGUGGAGCAAUUAGAGAGGGCACAAACGGCUGAUCCGCUUUGGAACGCUUCUCAGCUGGAGAUGGUUUACCAAGGGAAGAUGCAUGGUUUUAUGCGUAUGUAUUGGGCAAAAAAGAUUCUUGAGUGGACAAAAGGACCUGAAGAAGCCCUUGCAAUAUCAAUUUAUCUAAAUGACAAGUAUGAACUAGACGGGAGGGAUCCAAAUGGAUACGUUGGUUGCAUGUGGUCAAUAUGUGGUGUUCACGACCAG
RNAcentral lists this unclassified non-coding RNA (951 nucleotides) under Hevea brasiliensis (rubber tree). The record is from RNAcentral. Lineage: Eukaryota; Viridiplantae; Streptophyta; Magnoliopsida; Malpighiales; Euphorbiaceae.